GAUGAACGCUGGCGGCGUGCCUAAUACAUGCAAGUCGAGCGAACGGACGAGAAGCUUGCUUCUCUGAUGUUAGCGGCGGACGGGUGAGUAACACGUGGAUAACCUACCUAUAAGACUGGGAUAACUUCGGGAAACCGGAGCUAAUACCGGAUAAUAUUUUGAACCGCAUGGUUCAAAAGUGAAAGACGGUCUUGCUGUCACUUAUAGAUGGAUCCGCGCUGCAUUAGCUAGUUGGUAAGGUAACGGCUUACCAAGGCAACGAUGCAUAGCCGACCUGAGAGGGUGAUCGGCCACACUGGAACUGAGACACGGUCCAGACUCCUACGGGAGGCAGCAGUAGGGGAUCUUCCGCAAUGGGCGAAAGCCUGACGGAGCAACGCCGCGUGAGUGAUGAAGGUCUUCGGAUCGUAAAACUCUGUUAUUAGGGAAGAACAUAUGUGUAAGUAACUGUGCACAUCUUGACGGUACCUAAUCAGAAAGCCACGGCUAACUACGUGCCAGCAGCCGCGGUAAUACGUAGGUGGCAAGCGUUAUCCGGAAUUAUUGGGCGUAAAGCGCGCGUAGGCGGUUUUUUAAGUCUGAUGUGAAAGCCCACGGCUCAACCGUGGAGGGUCAUUGGAAACUGGAAAACUUGAGUGCAGAAGAGGAAAGUGGAAUUCCAUGUGUAGCGGUGAAAUGCGCAGAGAUAUGGAGGAACACCAGUGGCGAAGGCGACUUUCUGGUCUGUAACUGACGCUGAUGUGCGAAAGCGUGGGGAUCAAACAGGAUUAGAUACCCUGGUAGUCCACGCCGUAAACGAUGAGUGCUAAGUGUUAGGGGGUUUCCGCCCCUUAGUGCUGCAGCUAACGCAUUAAGCACUCCGCCUGGGGAGUACGACCGCAAGGUUGAAACUCAAAGGAAUUGACGGGGACCCGCACAAGCGGUGGAGCAUGUGGUUUAAUUCGAAGCAACGCGAAGAACCUUACCAAAUCUUGACAUCCUUUGACAACUCUAGAGAUAGAGCCUUCCCCUUCGGGGGACAAAGUGACAGGUGGUGCAUGGUUGUCGUCGGCUCGUGUCGUGAGAUGUUGGGUUAAGUCCCGCAACGAGCGCAACCCUUAAGCUUAGUUGCCAUCAUUAAGUUGGGCACUCUAAGUUGACUGCCGGUGACAAACCGGAGGAAGGUGGGGAUGACGUCAAAUCAUCAUGCCCCUUAUGAUUUGGGCUACACACGUGCUACAAUGGACAAUACAAAGGGCAGCGAAACCGCGAGGUCAAGCAAAUCCCAUAAAGUUGUUCUCAGUUCGGAUUGUAGUCUGCAACUCGACUACAUGAAGCUGGAAUCGCUAGUAAUCGUAGAUCAGCAUGCUACGGUGAAUACGUUCCCGGGUCU
RNAcentral lists this ribosomal RNA (1372 nucleotides) under uncultured bacterium. RNAcentral's name for it is "bacterial SSU rRNA". It matches the Rfam family "Bacterial small subunit ribosomal RNA", at positions 28 to 1381 of the family's 1533-position model. The record is from RNAcentral.